UGCUAACUUAAACCAUGCCCAUGAGGUAGC
RNAcentral lists this non-coding RNA (30 nucleotides) under Mus musculus (house mouse). Lineage: Eukaryota; Metazoa; Chordata; Mammalia; Rodentia; Muridae. The record is from RNAcentral.